GAUGAACGCUGGCGGCGUGCCUAAUACAUGCAAGUCGAGCGAACGGACGAGAAGCUUGCUUCUUUGUUGUUAGCGGCGGACGGGUGAGUAACACGUGGAUAACCUACCUAUAAGACUGGGAUAACUUCGGGAAACCGGAGCUAAUACCGGAUGAUAUUUUGAACCGCAUGGUUCAAAAGUGAAAGACGGUCUUGCUGUCACUUAUAGAUGGAUCCGCGCUGCAUUAGCUAGUUGGUAAGGUAACGGCUUACCAAGGCAACGAUGCAUAGCCGACCUGAGAGGGUGGUCGGCCACACGGGAACUGGGACACGGUCCAGACUCCUACGGGAGGCAGCAGUAGGGAACCGUCGGCAAUGGGGGAAAGCCUGACGCAGCAACGCCGCGUGCGUGAUGAAGGUCUUCGGAUCGUAAAACUCUGUUAUUGGGGAAGAACAUAUGUGUAAUUAAAUGUGCACAUCUUGACGGUACCUAAUCAGAAAGCCACGGCUAACUACGUG
This 497-nucleotide ribosomal RNA is filed under the name uncultured bacterium. RNAcentral's name for it is "partial 16S ribosomal RNA". It matches the Rfam family "Bacterial small subunit ribosomal RNA", at positions 28 to 507 of the family's 1533-position model. The record is from RNAcentral.